Panicum virgatum (switchgrass) is the source of this 312-nucleotide long non-coding RNA. RefSeq lists it as uncharacterized. The transcript has 3 exons. The record is from RefSeq and is a predicted model, not a curated record. Lineage: Eukaryota; Viridiplantae; Streptophyta; Magnoliopsida; Poales; Poaceae.
AGCUGAUUUGUUAUCACACUAAAGCUUCAUUGAACUAUCCUCCUGGAGUUUUAACUCAAAUAGAAGAUUUUUAAUCCAUAAUAGUUCACUUAGACUCUGUGACAUAGCCCUGUACUCAGCCUCUGCAGUAGAGCGUGAUACUACAGGCUGUUUCUUACUUCUCCAAAUCACCAAGUUGCCACCAACAAAAACACAAUAGCCUGAAGUUGAUCUUCUGUCAUCUGGACAACUAGCCCAGUCUGCAUCACAAUAACCCUCCACAUUCAGAUGUCCAUUUUCUUAAACAGCAAACCUCUGCCUGGAUUCCUCUUU